AUAUAAUAUAACAUAAAUCACCUCAUAUAAGAGAAUUAAUUCCCCUUUGAUCUCCAUGAAUCACAAAGCAUUAUUUUUAGCUUGUUUUGUCAUAAUCCUCUGUCUAUCUUCAACAACCUCUAGGAGAUUGCCAGGUUAUAGAUGUGGUGGCUAUAAAUAUGGAGAAGAAUCGUGUUCACCACGUAGAUCACUCUUUGUAGUUCGUAUGAGACCAGUAAUCGCACCUCGAAAGCCAAUAUCACCACCUGAUAAUGGAUCUUGAGAAGAGUUUGAGUAACAAAAAAAAAAUAUUAAGCAAGAAUUUUAUAUUGUAUUUAUGUUUAAAUAUAUAUGUUGCUGGACAAUUGUAUGUUUGGAUAUUCUAAAAUUGCUUACUCCAUGAUAGAUCUUCAAUGGAGUUAAGCUAGUAAUAAAUAAUACUUUUGUUAA
Molecule: long non-coding RNA, 429 nt
Organism: Solanum tuberosum (potato)
Lineage: Eukaryota; Viridiplantae; Streptophyta; Magnoliopsida; Solanales; Solanaceae
Exons: 3
Source: RefSeq, a predicted model, not a curated record